Molecule: ribosomal RNA, 460 nt
Filed under: uncultured bacterium
Lineage: Bacteria
Description: partial 16S ribosomal RNA
Rfam family: Bacterial small subunit ribosomal RNA
Source: RNAcentral
CCUACGGGUUGCAGCAGUGAGGAAUAUUGGUCAAUGGGCGCGAGCCUGAACCAGCCAAGUCGCGUGAGGGAAGACGGCCCUACGGGUUGUAAACCUCUUUUGCCGGGGAGCAACGGGCGCCACGUGAGGCGCCACUGAGAGUACCCGGAGAAAAAGCAGCGGCUAACUCCGUGCCAGCAGCCGCGGUAAUACGGGGGAUGAGAGCGUUAUCCGAAUUGAUUGGGUUUAAAGGGUGCGUAGGAGGAGCGUUAAGUCAGUGGUAAAAUUGGGGGGCUCAACCCCUUCCCGCCAUUGAAACUGGCUCUCUUGAGUGGACGAGAAGUAUGCGGAAGGCGUGGUGUAGCGGUGAAAUGCAUAGAUAUCACGCAGAACCCCGAUUGCGAAGGCAGCAUGCCGGCUUCCUACUGACGCUGAAGCACGAAAGCGUGGGGAUCGAACAGGAUUAGAUACCCGUGUAGUC